RNAcentral lists this transfer RNA (71 nucleotides) under fish gut metagenome. It matches the Rfam family "tRNA". From Rfam's summary of the family: Transfer RNA (tRNA) molecules are approximately 80 nucleotides in length. Their secondary structure includes four short double-helical elements and three loops (D, anti-codon, and T loops). Further hydrogen bonds mediate the characteristic L-shaped molecular structure. tRNAs have two regions of fundamental functional importance: the anti-codon, which is responsible for specific mRNA codon recognition, and the 3' end, to which the tRNAs corresponding amino acid is attached (by aminoacyl-tRNA synthetases). tRNAs cope with the degeneracy of the genetic code in two manners: having more than one tRNA (with a specific anti-codon) for a particular amino acid; and 'wobble' base-pairing, i.e. permitting non-standard base-pairing at the 3rd anti-codon position. The record is from RNAcentral.
GGGGUGUAGCUCAGUUGGUUAGAGCGCAUGCCUGUCACGCAUGAGGUCGCGAGUUCGAGUCUCGUCACUCC